This 407-nucleotide unclassified non-coding RNA is filed under the name soil metagenome. RNAcentral describes it as "partial contains 5.8S ribosomal RNA, internal transcribed spacer 2, and large subunit ribosomal RNA". The stretch from base 1 to 121 matches the Rfam family "5.8S ribosomal RNA", at positions 35 to 154 of the family's 154-position model. The record is from RNAcentral.
GAUGAAGAACGUAGUGAAAUGCGAUAAGUAAUGUGAAUUGCAGAAUUCAGUGAAUCAUCGAAUCUUUGAACGCACCUUGCGCCCUUUGGCCAUUCCGAAGGGCAUGCCUGUUUGAGUAUCAUGAACACCUCAACUCUUCAUGGUUUUCCAUGAUGAGCUUGGACUUUGGGGGUCUUGCUGGCCUACGGUCGGCUCCUCUAAAAUAAAUCAGCUUGCCAGUGUUUGGUGGGUAUCGCAGGUGUGAUAACUAUCUACGCUUGUGGUUUUCCACCAAGUAACCUUCAGCAGUGGAGGUUCACUGGAGCUCACAGAUGUGUCUCUCCUCAGUGAGGGACAGCUCUUUGAAUGUUUGAUCUCAAAUCAGGUAGGACUACCCGCUGAACUUAAGCAUAUCAAUAAGCGGAGGA